UGUGACCUGACAGGGCUUAUAAGGUAAACUACUGCAUUUAAAGAAGUGCACCUUAUAUAUAGUAGGUAGAUGUCACAGUGUCUGGUCUGUGUUUCCCUAGGUUUCCACUAGUGGUCUCACUUUCCCAUAGUCACCCCACUGCAGGCACUAUAUUUCCCACAAAGCCUUUGUCUCUUUCAUUACUGUUAAAUGCUCAUCUGUUAAUUGCACUCAGCAAUUGGAUCUCUCAUUUGCUGUGUGCAUUCGUAACAGAAAGACUCCAUCAUGCCCAGAUCCAGCAGUGUGGGAUUUCAUAUCCGUUCCCCAACCACCAUAGAGGAGCGGAUUGGGGAGACUCUUGAACCUAACCACCCUCCGUCAAAAGGGGAGUGAGGUGGGUGGCUUGGCUCAAGUCUUUUGGACAAUGGCAGUGGGGCUGGGUUAUAAUGAUGAGGCCCUGAAGGACCUAUUUAACAACUGCCUGGAUGACCCUUUGCCUGGGUGGGAGAUGAAGGGGCUGGAGGUCCUGGACUUUUGGGGGUUCACCAGUUACCUUCAACAUCGUAGUCAAUGGUAUACACAGACCACAGCCGUCUCUCCAGACACGAUGGCCGCCAGCCCAACGCCACUGCACAAGAUGGCCACCAGCCCAGUGCCACAGCACCAGGUGACUGCCAGGCUAGAGCCACUGCCCAAGAUGGCCGCCGGCCCAGCGCCACAGCACCAGAUGAGCGCCAGGCCAGAACAACUGCCCAAGAUGGCCGCCGGCCCAGCGCCACAGCACAAGAUAGCAUCUGGCCCAGCGCCACUGCACAAAAUGGCCACUGGCACAGUGCCACUGCACCAGAUGGCAGCCACAGGUGACCGUACAGAGUUGAGUCAGGUCCCCACUGACCAGGUCCCCGUGGUCCCUCCAGACUCAAGUCAGGUACCCAUGGUCCCUUCAGAGUCGAGUCAGGUCCCUGUGGUCCCUCCAGAGUCAGGUCAAGUCACCAUUAACACUCAUGAGUCAAGCCCAACCACAGUUAGACCUCAUGAGUCAAGUCAAGUCACCCUUGAUCUUCCUGAACCCAGUCAAAUCACCACGGAUCUACCAGAGCCUCUUCACAUCUCUGCUGAACUACCAGAGCCUCUUCACGUCUCUGCUGAACUACCAGAGCCUCGUCAUGUCUCUGCCGAACUUCCUGAGCGUUCGUCCUAUCCUGUCAUGGCCAUGGAGGCCAUCCAGGAACUCACCGCCUUCCUGUCAUGGCCAUGGAGACCAUCUACCAUCUCAUCAGGGCCACGGAGGCCACCCUUAACCUGUUCAUGUUCUCUAUUUCAGGCUUACCUAACCAGACUCUCCUGUGCAAUCAAUUCUACUGUGGUGGUUUUCUGCGCCGCCCUGGUGGGCUUCUGUCUUGUCUGUUCGGCUGUGGUGGCCCUCUGCGCUGCCCUGGUGGGCCUCUGUCUCGACCUCAAGGCGGUGGUGGUUCUCUGCACCACCCAGUCCCGUCUGCUAGGCUGUGGUGGGCUCCAGUUCCAUCUGUGCCAUCCCGGUGGGCUCCAGUUCCACCUGCUCCACACUGAUGUUUAAAUAAGUAAAGCAUUUUUUUUUUACUCAAGAAACAAUAUGUUUUUUGUGUGUUUGAAGAGUGAGAAGAAUCUUACCAUUUGCCAUCGAGAUGUAACAUUAGC
Long non-coding RNA from Carassius auratus (goldfish), 1656 nucleotides. The record is from Ensembl. NCBI's taxonomy places the organism in Eukaryota, Metazoa, Chordata, Actinopteri, Cypriniformes, Cyprinidae.